UGGGGAAUUUUCCGCAAUGGGGGGAACCCUGACGGAGCAACGCCGCGUGGGGGAGGAAUGUCUGUGGAUUGUAAACCCCUUUUCUCAGGGAAGAAGCUCUGACGGUACCUGAGGAAUCAGCAUCGGCUAACUCCGUGCCAGCAGCCGCGGUAAGACGGAGGAUGCAAGCGUUAUCCGGAAUUAUUGGGCGUAAAGCGUCCGUAGGCGGUGAAUCAAGUCUGUUGUCAAAGGCUGCAGCUCAACUGCGGAACGGCAAUGGAAACUGUUUUACUAGAGUGCGGUAGGGGUAGAGGGAAUUCCCAGUGUAGCGGUGAAAUGCGUAGAUAUUGGGAAGAACACCAGUGGCGAAGGCGCUCUACUGGGCCGCAACUGACGCUGAGGGACGAAAGCUAGGGGAGCGAAUGGGAUUAGAUACCCC
RNAcentral lists this ribosomal RNA (418 nucleotides) under Leptolyngbya sp. HI09-1. RNAcentral describes it as "bacterial SSU rRNA". It matches the Rfam family "Bacterial small subunit ribosomal RNA", at positions 355 to 788 of the family's 1533-position model. The record is from RNAcentral. Lineage: Bacteria; Bacillati; Cyanobacteriota; Cyanophyceae; Leptolyngbyales; Leptolyngbyaceae.